This 207-nucleotide ribosomal RNA is filed under the name uncultured bacterium. Its description in RNAcentral is "partial 16S ribosomal RNA". It matches the Rfam family "Bacterial small subunit ribosomal RNA", at positions 568 to 774 of the family's 1533-position model. The record is from RNAcentral.
UGCGUAGGUGCCAAUUAAGUCAAAUGUGAAAUCCCCCGAGCUUAACUUGGGAAUUGCAUUCGAUACUGGUUGGCUAGAGUAUGGGAGAGGAUGGUAGAAUUCCAGGUGUAGCGGUGAAAUGCGUAGAGAUCUGGAGGAAUACCGAUGGCGAAGGCAGCCAUCUGGCCUAAUACUGACACUGAGGUACGAAGGCAUGGGGAGCAAACA